CGCACAUUGCGCCCCUCGGUACUCCGGGGGGCAUGCCUGUCCGAGCGUCAUUGAAAACUAUCAAGCCCGGCUUGGUCUUGGGCGAGGUCUGGGGACCCGCCCGCAACCCGUCGGCGGUGCCUGUUCGGCCCUGAGCGUAGCAAGAUUCUCGCUCCAGGGACCCAGCGGUGCCUGCCAGCAGUCUCCCCCUAUAGUUUGACCUCGGAUCAGGUAGGGAUACCCGCUGAACUUAA
This 233-nucleotide unclassified non-coding RNA is filed under the name Dothideomycetes sp. RNAcentral's name for it is "partial contains 5.8S ribosomal RNA, internal transcribed spacer 2, and large subunit ribosomal RNA". The record is from RNAcentral. Lineage: Eukaryota; Fungi; Ascomycota; Dothideomycetes.